This 465-nucleotide ribosomal RNA is filed under the name Vreelandella stevensii. RNAcentral describes it as "partial 16S ribosomal RNA". It matches the Rfam family "Bacterial small subunit ribosomal RNA", at positions 338 to 795 of the family's 1533-position model. The record is from RNAcentral. Lineage: Bacteria; Pseudomonadati; Pseudomonadota; Gammaproteobacteria; Oceanospirillales; Halomonadaceae.
CCUACGGGGGGCAGCAGUGGGGAAUAUUGGACAAUGGGGGGAACCCUGAUCCAGCCAUGCCGCGUGUGUGAAGAAGGCCCUCGGGUUGUAAAGCACUUUCAGUGAGGAAGAACGCCUGGUGGUUAAUACCCAUCAGGAAAGACAUCACUCACAGAAGAAGCACCGGCUAACUCCGUGCCAGCAGCCGCGGUAAUACGGAGGGUGCGAGCGUUAAUCGGAAUUACUGGGCGUAAAGCGCGCGUAGGUGGCUUGAUAAGCCGGUUGUGAAAGCCCCGGGCUCAACCUGGGAACGGCAUCCGGAACUGUCAAGCUAGAGUGCAGGAGAGGAAGGUAGAAUUCCCGGUGUAGCGGUGAAAUGCGUAGAGAUCGGGAGGAAUACCAGUGGCGAAGGCGGCCUUCUGGACUGACACUGACACUGAGGUGCGAAAGCGUGGGUAGCAAACAGGAUCAGAUACCCUAGUAGUC